RNAcentral lists this ribosomal RNA (468 nucleotides) under uncultured bacterium. RNAcentral's name for it is "partial 16S ribosomal RNA". It matches the Rfam family "Bacterial small subunit ribosomal RNA", at positions 28 to 507 of the family's 1533-position model. The record is from RNAcentral.
GACGAACGCUGGCGGCGUGCUUAACACAUGCAAGUCGAACGGAAAGGCCCUGCUUUUGUGGGGUUCUCGAGUGGCGAACGGGUGAGUAACACGUGAGUAACCUGCCCUUGACUUUGGUAUAACUUCAGGAAACUGGGGCUAAUACCGGAUAGGAUCUCCUGCUGCAUGGUGGGGGUUGGAAAGUUUCGGCUGUUGGGGAUGGACUCGCGGCUUAUCAGCUUGUUGGUGGGGUAGUGGCUUACCCAGGCUUUGAAGGGUAGCCGGCCUGAGAGGGUGACCGGCCACAUUGGGACUGAGAUACGGACCAGACUCGUACGGGAGGCAGCAGUGGGGAAUAUUGCACAAUGGGAGGAAGCCUGAUGAAGUAACGCCGCGUGCGGGAUGACGGCCUUCGGGUUGUAAACAGCUGUCGCCUGUGACGAAGCGUGAGUGACGGUAAUGGGUAAAGAAGCACCGGCUAACUACGUG